AGGAUGAACGCUGGCGGCGUGCUUAACACAUGCAAGUCGAACGAUGAUCUCCAGCUUGCUGGGGGGAUUAGUGGCGAACGGGUGAGUAACACGUGAGUAACCUGCCCUUGACUCUGGGAUAAGCCUGGGAAACUGGGUCUAAUACUGGAUACGACCUUCCAUCGCAUGGUGGUUGGUGGAAAGCUUUUGUGGUUUUGGAUGGACUCGCGGCCUAUCA
Molecule: ribosomal RNA, 217 nt
Filed under: uncultured soil bacterium
Lineage: Bacteria
Description: partial 16S ribosomal RNA
Rfam family: Bacterial small subunit ribosomal RNA
Source: RNAcentral